CAGGCUUAACACAUGCAAGUCGAGGGGCAGCAUGGUCUUAGCUUGCUAAGGCCGAUGGCGACCGGCGCACGGGUGAGUAACACGUAUCCAACCUGCCGUCUACUCUUGGACAGCCUUCUGAAAGGAAGAUUAAUACAAGAUGGCAUCAUGAGUCCGCAUGUUCACAUGAUUAAAGGUAUUCCGGUAGACGAUGGGGAUGCGUUCCAUUAGAUAGUAGGCGGGGUAACGGCCCACCUAGUCUUCGAUGGAUAGGGGUUCUGAGAGGAAGGUCCCCCACAUUGGAACUGAGACACGGUCCAAACUCCUACGGGAGGCAGCAGUGAGGAAUAUUGGUCAAUGGGCGAGAGCCUGAACCAGCCAAGUAGCGUGAAGGAUGACUGCCCUAUGGGUUGUAAACUUCUUUUAUAAAGGAAUAAAGUCGGGUAUGGAUACCCGUUUGCAUGUACUUUAUGAAUAAGGAUCGGCUAACUCCGUGCCAGCAGCCGCGGUAAUACGGAGGAUCCGAGCGUUAUCCGGAUUUAUUGGGUUUAAAGGGAGCGUAGAUGGAUGUUUAAGUCAGUUGUGAAAGUUUGCGGCUCAACCGUAAAAUUGCAGUUGAUACUGGAUAUCUUGAGUGCAGUUGAGGCAGGCGGAAUUCGUGGUGUAGCGGUGAAAUGCUUAGAUAUCACGAAGAACUCCGAUUGCGAAGGCAGCCUGCUAAGCUGCAACUGACAUUGAGGCUCGAAAGUGUGGGUAUCAAACAGGAUUAGAUACCCUGGUAGUCCACACGGUAAACGAUGAAUACUCGCUGUUUGCGAUAUACAGCAAGCGGCCAAGCGAAAGCGUUAAGUAUUCCACCUGGGGAGUACGCCGGCAACGGUGAAACUCAAAGGAAUUGACGGGGGCCCGCACAGGCGGAGGAACAUGUGGUUUAAUUCGAUGAUACGCGAGGAACCUUACCCGGGCUUAAAUUGCAGAUGAAUUACGGUGAAAGCCGUAAGCCGCAAGGCAUCUGUGAAGGUGCUGCAUGGUUGUCGUCAGCUCGUGCCGUGAGGUGUCGGCUUAAGUGCCAUAACGAGCGCAACCCUUGUUGUCAGUUACUAACAGGUUCCGCUGAGGACUCUGACAAGACUGCCAUCGUAAGAUGUGAGGAAGGUGGGGAUGACGUCAAAUCAGCACGGCCCUUACGUCCGGGGCUACACACGUGUUACAAUGGGGGGUACAGAGGGCCGCUACCACGCGAGUGGAUGCCAAUCCCCAAAACCUCUCUCAGUUCGGACUGGAGUCUGCAACCCGACUCCACGAAGCUGGAUUCGCUAGUAAUCGCGCAUCAGCCACGGCGCGGUGAAUACGUUCCCGGGCCUUGUACACACCGCCCGUCAAGCCAUGGGAGCCGGGGGUACCUGAAGUGCGUAACCGCGAGGAGCGCCCUAGGGUAAAACUGGUGACUGGGGC
RNAcentral lists this ribosomal RNA (1434 nucleotides) under uncultured organism. RNAcentral describes it as "16S ribosomal RNA". It matches the Rfam family "Bacterial small subunit ribosomal RNA". The record is from RNAcentral.